CCUACGGGAGGCAGCAGUGAGGAAUAUUGGUCAAUGGACGAGAGUCUGAACCAGCCAAGUAGCGUGAAGGAUGACUGCCCUAUGGGUUGUAAACUUCUUUUAUAAAGGAAUAAAACGAGGCACGUGUGCCUUUUUGCAUGUACUUUAUGAAUAAGGAUCGGCUAACUCCGUGCCAGCAGCCGCGGUAAUACGGAGGAUCCGAGCGUUAUCCGGAUUUAUUGGGUUGAAAGGGAGCGUAGAUGGGUUGUUAAGUCAGUUGUGAAAGUUUGCGGCUCAACCGUAAAAUUGCAAUUGAUACUGGCAGUCGUGAGUACAGUUGAGGUAGGCGGAAUUCGUGGUGUAGCGGUGAAAUGCUUAGAUAUCACGAAGAACCCCGAUUGCGAAGGCAGCUUACUAAACUGUGACUGACAUUGAUGCUCGAAAGUGUGGGUAUCAAACAGGAUUAGAUACCCGAGUAGUC
Molecule: ribosomal RNA, 460 nt
Filed under: uncultured bacterium
Lineage: Bacteria
Description: partial 16S ribosomal RNA
Rfam family: Bacterial small subunit ribosomal RNA
Source: RNAcentral